Molecule: non-coding RNA, 72 nt
Organism: Parelaphostrongylus tenuis
Lineage: Eukaryota; Metazoa; Nematoda; Chromadorea; Rhabditida; Metastrongylidae
Source: the annotation of a GenBank genome assembly
GCCACGGUGGUGUAGUGGUAGCACGCGUUCCAAAUAAGGGUGAAACACGAGUUCAUCUCCCGUCUGGGGACG